CACGUAGGGGGCGAGCGUUGUCCGGAUUUAUUGGGCGUAAAGAGCUCGUAGGCGGCUCAGUAAGUCGGGUGUGAAACCUCCAGGCUCAACCUGGAGACGCCACCUGAUACUGCUGUGGCUGGAGUCCGGUAGGGGAGCGUGGAAUUCCUGGUGUAGCGGUGAAAUGCGCAGAUAUCAGGAGGAACACCGGUGGCGAAGGCGGAUCUCUGGGCCUUACCUGACGCUGAGGCGCGAAAGCUAGGGGAGCGAACAGG
RNAcentral lists this ribosomal RNA (254 nucleotides) under uncultured bacterium. RNAcentral describes it as "partial 16S ribosomal RNA". It matches the Rfam family "Bacterial small subunit ribosomal RNA", at positions 524 to 776 of the family's 1533-position model. The record is from RNAcentral.